RNAcentral lists this long non-coding RNA (561 nucleotides) under Lathyrus oleraceus (garden pea). RNAcentral describes it as "Pisum sativum (pea) long non-coding RNA (PSAT_LNC007428)". The record is from RNAcentral. Lineage: Eukaryota; Viridiplantae; Streptophyta; Magnoliopsida; Fabales; Fabaceae.
UUUCUUCCAUCUUUGGCAUAUGAUCAAAAAUGGCAUCUUUUGGGGGAUUUCUUAGCCUGUGAUUUUCAUUACCGCACUAAACCUGGUUUGGAAGAGUCUCAAGAAUAGAUCCACAAGAUUAGGAACACUAUCUCUUCAAAACAUGUCCAGAAUAUCGAAAACGUUUUCAAAAAUUAGCACUUCGACAACUGUCGAGUUCGACACGUCCAUCAAAUGUUAGAGACUUAGUGUAUUUUUGAAUCCAAAGGCAGUUGAGAUUCUGGAAGAGACCGGAGAUUCUAGACAAAGGAAGUUGAGAGAUUUAAAAGUAGUUAUCAACAUAGGUGACAGUUUAAAGUCGUUCAGAUGUUGAAGACGCGUAGAAGCCAUGCAAAUCCCAAUAACUCAGUACUUGUAAACGUGUUGGGCGAUGGGAAAGUAACCAUCGUCGACAGUUAAUUUUCACUAUAUAAAUCGAAUUUAAGCAUUGUAAUUAAGGUAUGAAAAUUUCAUUAAGUUCUCUAUAAAAUCCAAUAUCCAAGUCACAGAGAUUCAUAGAUUCAACAAUAAAUAUAUGAUCAU